This 74-nucleotide transfer RNA is filed under the name Mycobacterium koreense. RNAcentral's name for it is "Mycolicibacillus koreensis tRNA-Arg". It matches the Rfam family "tRNA". From Rfam's summary of the family: Transfer RNA (tRNA) molecules are approximately 80 nucleotides in length. Their secondary structure includes four short double-helical elements and three loops (D, anti-codon, and T loops). Lineage: Bacteria; Bacillati; Actinomycetota; Actinomycetes; Mycobacteriales; Mycobacteriaceae. The record is from RNAcentral.
GCCCCUGUAGCUCAACGGAUCAGAGCAGCGGGUUUCUACCCCGCCGGUUGCGGGUUCGACUCCUGCCAGGGGCA